AGCAGCCGCGGUAAUUCCAGCUCCAAUAGCGUAUAUUAAAGUUGUUGCAGUUAAAAAGCUCGUAGUUGAACUUCAGGCCUGGCUGGACGGUCCGCCUUCCGGGCGAGUACUGUCUGUGGUCGGGUCCUACCUUCUGGCGAAGCGUCAUGGCCUUAACCGGCCGUGGCGGGGAACCAGGACUUUUUACUGUGAAAAAUUAGAGUGUUCAAAGCAGGCAAUUCGCUUGGAUACAUUAGCAUGGAAUAAUGGAAUAGGACAAUGGUUCUAUUUGUUGGUUUCUAGGACUGUUGUAAUGAUUAAUAGGGAUAGUUGGGGGCAUUAGUAUUCAAUUGUCAGAGGUGAAAUUCUUGGAUUUAUUGAAGACUAACUACUGCGAAAGCAUUUGCCAAGGAUGUUUUCAUUAAUCAAGAACGAAAGUUAGGGGAUCGAAGACGAUCAGAUACCGUCGUAGUCUUAACCAUAAACUAUAGC
Molecule: ribosomal RNA, 471 nt
Filed under: uncultured Paraglomus
Lineage: Eukaryota; Fungi; Glomeromycota; Glomeromycetes; Paraglomerales; Paraglomeraceae
Description: SSU rRNA
Rfam family: Eukaryotic small subunit ribosomal RNA
Source: RNAcentral